Molecule: transfer RNA, 66 nt
Filed under: Nesophrosyne sp. 302 GMB-2012
Lineage: Eukaryota; Metazoa; Arthropoda; Insecta; Hemiptera; Cicadellidae
Description: tRNA-Ala
Source: RNAcentral
AGGAUUAUAUUUAACUAUAAUAUUUGAAUUGCAAUCAAAAGGUAUCUUCUAUACAGAUUAAUCUUU